GGUCAAGCUAGGAAGGGCAUACGGUGGAUGCCUAGGCGCCAAGAGCCGACGAAGGACGCGGUAAGCUGCGAAAAGCCACGGGGAGCCGCAAGCAGGCGUAGAUCCGUGGAUGUCCGAAUGGGGGAACCCGGCGGUGGUAAUGCACCGUCAUCCAUCGUAAGAUGGAAGGGAACCCGGGGAACUGAAACAUCUAAGUACCCGGAGGAAAAGUAAUCAAACGAGAUUCCCUAAGUAGCGGCGAGCGAAAGGGGAAGAGCCCAAACCGGUUGCGCUAUGCGCAACCGGGGUUGUGGACCAACAUAAGGACUGGCGAGGUCUAGUCGAACUACCUGGAAAGGUAGGCCGCAGAAGGUAAAAGCCCUGUAGGCGAAAGGCGGAGCCAGCCGGUUGGGAUCCAGAGUACCACGGGAUACGUGGAGUCCUGUGGGAAGCAGGGGGGACCACCCUCCAAGGCAAAAUACUCCUUGGCGACCGAUAGCGCAUAGUACCGUGAGGGAAAGGUGAAAAGCACCCCGGGAGGGGAGUGAAAGAGGACCUGAAACCGUAUGUCUACAAGCAGUCGGAGAUGUGAAAGCAUCGACGGCGUGCCUAUUGAAGAAUGAACCGGCGAGUUACAGCAGCCAGCGAGGUUAAGCAGAAAAUGCGGAGCCGAAGCGAAAGCGAGUCUGAAGAGGGCGAGAAAGUUGGCUGUUGUAGACCCGAAACCGCAGUGAUCUAUCCAUGGCCAGGGUGAAGCGCAGGUAACAAUGCGUGGAGGCCCGAACCGGUGGGCGUUGAAAAGUCCUCGGAUGAGUUGUGGAUAGGGGUGAAAUGCCAAUCGAACGCGGAGAUAGCUGGUUCUCCCCGAAAUAGCUUUAGGGCUAGCCUCAAGUGGUGAGUGCAGGCGGUAGAGCACUGAUAGGGCUAGGGGCCGUAAGGUUACCGAACCUUGUCAAACUGCGAAUGGCUGCAUUUAGAGCUUGGGAGUCAGACUACGAGUGAUAAGAUCCGUAGUCAAGAGGGAAACAGCCCAGACCAUCAGCUAAGGUCCCGAAUGCCGUGCUAAGUGGCAAAGGAUGUGGCGCUACAAAAACAACCAGGAUGUUGGCUUAGAAGCAGCCAUCAUUCAAAGAGUGCGUAAUAGCUCACUGGUCGAGUGGCGCUGCGCCGAAGAUGUCCGGGGCUAAAGCACGGAACCGAAGCUAUGGCUUUUUCGACAGUCGACUUUUGACGUUUGACUUUCGAAAGGGAGUGACGAGAUGUCAGGGUACAAAGAAUUAGUAGUAUAUAAGGCAUCAUAUGAUGCGGCAUUACAAAUUCACCAACUGACACAGUCAUUUCCCAAAUACGAAUUGUAUGAAAUCGGGAGUCAAUUGCGGAGAGCUGCGAUAUCAAUUCCAUUAAAUAUAGCAGAAGGAUAUGGCAGAAAGACAUAUCAAAAAGAUUUUAAGAAUUUCUUAGUAACCGCAUUGGGUUCAUGCAACGAAGUGCAAGUACUGCUAGAUAUGGUCAAAGAUCUAGGAUAUAUAGACGAGCAACAUGAAAUGCUUAAAGAAACAUAUGACCACAUAGCAAGGCAGCUUGCGAGAUUCAUACAAGUUGUUGAGAAAGCGAAGGUCGAAAGUCGAAAGUCGGCUGUCGAGAAAGGGUAGGGGAGCGUUCUUACCGGGUAGAAGGUUUUCUGGAAGGGGAGCUGGACUGGUAAGAAGUGAGAAUGCCGGUAUGAGUAGCGAAAAGACAGGUGAGAAUCCUGUCCACCGAAAGCCUAAGGGUUCCUGAGCAACGAUCGUCGACUCAGGGUAAGUCGGGACCUAAGCCGAGGCGGAUAAGCGUAGGCGAUGGACAACGGGUAAACAUUCCCGUACCGCCCGAAGUCGUUUGAGCGAAGGAGUGACGCAGGAGGUAAGGCAAGCGCGAGGAUGGAAAGUCGCGUCUAAGCCGGUAGGGUGCAGUGCAGGCAAAUCCGCACUGCGAGAGCCUGAGAGGUGAAGGGGAGCUGAGGGGAGACCCUUGGCGAAGUUGCCUGGGCCAGACUGCCGAGAAAAGCUUCUAGCGAGACGGAGGGCGCCCGUACCGGAAACCGACACAGGUAGGCGGGGAGAGGAUCCUAAGGUGCGCGGGAGAACCCUCGUUAAGGAACUCGGCAAAAUGUCCCCGUAACUUCGGGAGAAGGGGAGCCCAAGCCCGUGAAGGCAGGAAGCGGCCGGAGCGGGAGUGGGUCGCAGAGGAGAGGCCCAAGCGACUGUUUACCACAAACACAGGUGCCUGCUAAAGCGAAAGCUGACGUAUAGGUGCUGACACCUGCCCAGUGCCGGAAGGUUAAGGAAGGGGGUUAGGAGGAAACUCCGAAGCUCACGACCGAAGCCCCGGUGAACGGCGGCCGUAACUAUAACGGUCCUAAGGUAGCGAAAUUCCUUGUCGGGUAAGUUCCGACCCGCACGAAAGGUGUAACGACUUGGGCACUGUCUCAACGAGGGACCCGGUGAAAUUGAAAUACCUGUGAAGAUGCAGGUUACCCGCGACUGGACAGAAAGACCCCAUGGAGCUUUACUGCAACCUGACAUUGGAUUUUGGUAAAGCAUGUACAGGAUAGGUGGGAGACAGAGAAGCAUGGGCGCAAGCUCGUGUGGAGUCGACGUUGGGAUACCACCCUUGGUUUACUGGAGUUCUAACUGGAGGAGUAACGAACCUCAGGACAGUGUCAGGCGGGCAGUUUGACUGGGGCGGUCGCCUCCGAAAGAGUAACGGAGGCGCCCAAAGGUUCCCUCAGCGCGGAUGGAAAUCGCGCGGAGAGUGUAAAGGCAGAAGGGAGCUUGACUGCGAGACGGACAGGUCGAGCAGGGACGAAAGUCGGGCUUAGUGAUCCGGUGGUACCGAGUGGAAGGGCCAUCGCUCAACGGAUAAAAGCUACCCUGGGGAUAACAGGCUAAUCUCCCCCAAGAGUCCAUAUCGACGGGGAGGUUUGGCACCUCGAUGUCGGCUCAUCACAUCCUGGGGCUGAAGUAGGUCCCAAGGGUUGGGCUGUUCGCCCAUUAAAGUGGUACGUGAGCUGGGUUCAGAACGUCGUGAGACAGUUCGGUCCCUAUCCAUCGCGGGCGCAAGAGACUUGAGAGGAGCUGCUCCUAGUACGAGAGGACCGGAGUGGACGGACCAAUGGUGUACCAGUUAUACCGCCAGGUGUACAGCUGGGUAGCUACGUCCGGAACGGAUAAACGCUGAAAGCAUCUAAGCGUGAAACCGGCCUUAAGAUGAGGUCUCUCACAACGGAAGUUGGUAAGGCCCCUUGCAGAAGACAAGGUAGAUAGGCCAGGAGUGUAAGGCGGGCAACCGCUUGAGCGGACUGGUACUAAUCGGCCGAGGGCUUGACCUA
Molecule: ribosomal RNA, 3349 nt
Filed under: Thermosinus carboxydivorans Nor1
Lineage: Bacteria; Bacillati; Bacillota; Negativicutes; Selenomonadales; Sporomusaceae
Description: Bacterial large subunit ribosomal RNA
Rfam family: Bacterial large subunit ribosomal RNA
Source: Rfam by way of RNAcentral